Actinia tenebrosa (Australian red waratah sea anemone) is the source of this 505-nucleotide long non-coding RNA. The record is from RefSeq and is a predicted model, not a curated record. NCBI's taxonomy places the organism in Eukaryota, Metazoa, Cnidaria, Anthozoa, Actiniaria, Actiniidae.
UAUCACAGUUGAGUAAGAUGAAAGUUAGCAGUGUUGUGGUCAUGCUACUCUUGUCACUAUUCGUGUCACAGUCAUAUUGUUUAUGGGGAAAGUGUCCACCUCGUUGCCCCGGCCGCAAAAGGGAAAGCAGUGGCUUACGAAAUGCUGAAGCGGCAAUCCAUUCUCGUCAACGUUUUCGCGUGAGACAAAUACAAAGGUCCAAGAUCAUGGAAGCUGUGGAGCCCGACAUGCUUGAAUGAGACAAAUGAAUAUAUGACAUUGUACUUGUUUAGACGAUGUCUAAUAAUGAUGAAUAAUUUAAGCAUGGAAAGGUAAAAACAACAACAACAAAAGAAAGUUAAUAAAGCAAUGAUAUAAAGUGAUGACGGUUUGAAAUAUGACCAACACUGAUAAGAUAGCCUUGCGUGAAACCAGAAUACAAUGGAAUCUGAUAUUUUACCGAUGGAUAGAACUACUGUAUAACCAUGUUAACUUAUAAAGAAAUAAAUUGAGAUCAAACAAUAAA